AUCUACCUAGUAGUAUGGGAUAGCCACUAGAAAUGGUGGGUAAUACUGUAUAAUCCCUGCGGGGGAAAGAUUUAUCGCUAUUAGAUGAGCCUAUGUUAGAUUAGCUAGUUGGUAGGGUAAAGGCCUACCAAGGCAGUGAUCUAUAGCUGGUCUGAGAGGAUGAUCAGCCACACUGGAACUGAGAUACGGUCCAGACUCCUACGGGAGGCAGCAGUGGGGAAUAUUGGACAAUGGGCGCAAGCCUGAUCCAGCUAUGCCGCGUGAGUGAGGAAGGCCUUAGGGUUGUAAAACUCUUUCAGUGGGGAAGAUAAUGACGGUACCCACAGAAAAAGUCCCGGCAAACUCGGGAUCCCGACCAUGGAA
RNAcentral lists this ribosomal RNA (363 nucleotides) under Anaplasma sp. sheep1_TDR. Its description in RNAcentral is "bacterial SSU rRNA". It matches the Rfam family "Bacterial small subunit ribosomal RNA", at positions 124 to 521 of the family's 1533-position model. The record is from RNAcentral. Lineage: Bacteria; Pseudomonadati; Pseudomonadota; Alphaproteobacteria; Rickettsiales; Anaplasmataceae.